UACGUAGGGUGCGAGCGUUAAUCGGAAUUACUGGGCGUAAAGCGUGCGCAGGCGGUUAUAUAAGACAGUUGUGAAAUCCCCGGGCUCAACCUGGGAACUGCAUCUGUGACUGUAUAGCUAGAGUACGGUAGAGGGGGAUGGAAUUCCGCGUGUAGCAGUGAAAUGCGUAGAUAUGCGGAGGAACACCGAUGGCGAAGGCAAUCCCCUGGGCCUGCACUGACGCUCAUGCACGAAAGCGUGGGGAGCAAACAGG
Molecule: ribosomal RNA, 253 nt
Filed under: uncultured bacterium
Lineage: Bacteria
Description: partial 16S ribosomal RNA
Rfam family: Bacterial small subunit ribosomal RNA
Source: RNAcentral